UUCGUCUGACAAUUAUGCCAGUCGGUCUGACAGCUGAUCGCGAAUUGUCGUUCAAAACGUCCGCUCGGAUCAAGGCCGUUAUUCCGCGGUCAUGUGGUGGGCCACUGCCCUUCUCGGCCCUGUUCAUUGGUGGAGAGCGGCAGCGCAGGUCCGCUGCGCGAGCGGCCGAGGGCCCGUGUUAUUGUGACGCAGGUCAAGCGCGUGAGGAGUCGGCUCGUUUCAAUUCGGCCGCGCCGCGUCCAACGGCUAACGAAGCCCAAUAGUGUGGAGGCGCCCAAACGUCUCGAAAACGGCGCACUCCAAUCACGUCUGUUGAAACGGAUUAUCGGAUCCUUUUCUCCUAGCGACGUGGAGAGUCGAAUGCUGGAAAAGCACUGGUUUGGAAGCCUUGAGAAAUAACAAUACGAAUAAGGGAAAAAUAAAAAAAAGACCCUUUUUUUCACGGAUAUCGGAGUUGUAAUGCAACAUGAUGGGGUCACUCGAUCGUCGCUGAUCACCUCGUAUUACCGAGAAAAGGAUCCACGGUUUCACGUCUGUAAGAAGACUCCGCCCCCAGUUCCUCCACGCAUCAAGCCCCUCAUAGCACUGAAUGUUCAGAGCAGCACCGAGUCUGCUCAGGACACCUACCUGGACAACCAGGACAAGCGCGACGAGGCCAACAGCCAGUCAGGACGCAGCAACUCCUCAGACAGCGUCACCAGCUCAAGGACGGGAAGCUUAGCCAAGGGCGCCAAGCGGCCGCCCCUGCUGCCCCAGGCCCCGAUUCCUGCCCCGCGGGAACCACCCUUGCCCCUGCCCAGUGCCAGGGUGAGCAGCCCCCCUCUUCCCUCCCCAGCUCCCGAGACUCCGCCCAUAAGCAUCACUCUCGUGACAGACGAACCCCAAGCUGCUCCCAGGCGAAAACUUUCAUCUAUCGGUAUCCAGGUGUGUGUGUGUGUGUGUGUGCGCGCGCGCAUCACGUUUUAACUCCCACAUUCCUUCUCAUUCUGUCACUUGGCCCCCUGGUUAGUUACAUAAUUUUGAAAAUACAUACUGCAAAGCAAACACUCAUCAUGCCUGAAGAAAUAGUGUGCAAUAAAUUCAGCUGUGAAUUGCUGCUAUUAUGCAAAUCUCCAUCUGAUCAUUU
Long non-coding RNA from Electrophorus electricus (electric eel), 1126 nucleotides. The record is from Ensembl. NCBI's taxonomy places the organism in Eukaryota, Metazoa, Chordata, Actinopteri, Gymnotiformes, Gymnotidae.